AGAGUUUGAUCAUGGCUCAGAUUGAACGCUGGCGGCAGGCCUAACACAUGCAAGUCGAGCGGUAGCACAGAGAGCUUGCUCUCGGGUGACGAGCGGCGGACGGGUGAGUAAUGUCUGGGAAACUGCCUGAUGGAGGGGGAUAACUACUGGAAACGGUAGCUAAUACCGCAUAACGUCGCAAGACCAAAGUGGGGGACCUUCGGGCCUCAUGCCAUCAGAUGUGCCCAGAUGGGAUUAGCUAGUAGGUGGGGUAACGGCUCACCUAGGCGACGAUCCCUAGCUGGUCUGAGAGGAUGACCAGCCACACUGGAACUGAGACACGGUCCAGACUCCUACGGGAGGCAGCAGUGGGGAAUAUUGCACAAUGGGCGCAAGCCUGAUGCAGCCAUGCCGCGUGUGUGAAGAAGGCCUUCGGGUUGUAAAAGCACUUUCAGCGGGGAGGAAGGCGUUAAGGUUAAUAACCUUGGCGAUUGACGUUACCCGCAGAAGAAGCACCGGCUAACUCCGUGCCAGCAGCCGCGGUAAUACGGAGGGUGCAAGCGUUAAUCGGAAUUACUGGGCGUAAAGCGCACGCAGGCGGUCUGUCAAGUCGGAUGUGAAAUCCCCGGGCUCAACCUGGGAACUGCAUUCGAAACUGGCAGGCUAGAGUCUUGUAGAGGGGGGUAGAAUUCCAGGUGUAGCGGUGAAAUGCGUAGAGAUCUGGAGGAAUACCGGUGGCGAAGGCGGCCCCCUGGACAAAGACUGACGCUCAGGUGCGAAAGCGUGGGGAGCAAACAGGAUUAGAUACCCUGGUAGUCCACGCCGUAAACGAUGUCGAUUUGGAGGUUGUGCCCUUGAGGCGUGGCUUCCGGAGCUAACGCGUUAAAUCGACCGCCUGGGGAGUACGGCCGCAAGGUUAAAACUCAAAUGAAUUGACGGGGGCCCGCACAAGCGGUGGAGCAUGUGGUUUAAUUCGAUGCAACGCGAAGAACCUUACCUGGUCUUGACAUCCCACAGAACUUUCCAGAGAUGGAUUGGUGCCUUCGGGAACUGUGAGACAGGUGCUGCAUGGCUGUCGUCAGCUCGUGUUGUGAAAUGUUGGGUUAAGUCCCGCAACGAGCGCAACCCUUAUCCUUUGUUGCCAGCGGUCCGGCCGGGAACUCAAAGGAGACUGCCAGUGAAUAAACUGGAGGAAGGUGGGGAUGACGUCAAGUCAUCAUGGCCCUUACGACCAGGGCUACACACGUGCUACAAUGGCAUAUACAAAGAGAAGCGACCUCGCGAGAGCAAGCGGACCUCAUAAAGUAUGUCGUAGUCCGGAUUGGAGUCUGCAACUCGACUCCAUGAAGUCGGAAUCGCUAGUAAUCGUAGAUCAGAAUGCUACGGUGAAUACGUUCCCGGGCCUUGUACACACCGCCCGUCACACCAUGGGAGUGGGUUGCAAAAGAAGUAGGUAGCUUAACCUUCGGGAGGGCGCUUACCACUUUGUGAUUCAUGACUGGGGUGAAGUCGUAACAAGGUAACCGUAGGGGAACCUGCGGUUGGAUCACCU
Molecule: ribosomal RNA, 1531 nt
Filed under: Klebsiella pneumoniae
Lineage: Bacteria; Pseudomonadati; Pseudomonadota; Gammaproteobacteria; Enterobacterales; Enterobacteriaceae
Description: bacterial SSU rRNA
Rfam family: Bacterial small subunit ribosomal RNA
Source: RNAcentral